This 843-nucleotide ribosomal RNA is filed under the name Lactiplantibacillus plantarum. RNAcentral describes it as "bacterial SSU rRNA". It matches the Rfam family "Bacterial small subunit ribosomal RNA", at positions 68 to 882 of the family's 1533-position model. The record is from RNAcentral. Lineage: Bacteria; Bacillati; Bacillota; Bacilli; Lactobacillales; Lactobacillaceae.
GGUAUUGAUUGGUGCUUGCAUCAUGAUUUACAUUUGAGUGAGUGGCGAACUGGUGAGUAACACGUGGGAAACCUGCCCAGAAGCGGGGGAUAACACCUGGAAACAGAUGCUAAUACCGCAUAACAACUUGGACCGCAUGGUCCGAGUUUGAAAGAUGGCUUCGGCUAUCACUUUUGGAUGGUCCCGCGGCGUAUUAGCUAGAUGGUGGGGUAACGGCUCACCAUGGCAAUGAUACGUAGCCGACCUGAGAGGGUAAUCGGCCACAUUGGGACUGAGACACGGCCCAAACUCCUACGGGAGGCAGCAGUAGGGAAUCUUCCACAAUGGACGAAAGUCUGAUGGAGCAACGCCGCGUGAGUGAAGAAGGGUUUCGGCUCGUAAAACUCUGUUGUUAAAGAAGAACAUAUCUGAGAGUAACUGUUCAGGUAUUGACGGUAUUUAACCAGAAAGCCACGGCUAACUACGUGCCAGCAGCCGCGGUAAUACGUAGGUGGCAAGCGUUGUCCGGAUUUAUUGGGCGUAAAGCGAGCGCAGGCGGUUUUUUAAGUCUGAUGUGAAAGCCUUCGGCUCAACCGAAGAAGUGCAUCGGAAACUGGGAAACUUGAGUGCAGAAGAGGACAGUGGAACUCCAUGUGUAGCGGUGAAAUGCGUAGAUAUAUGGAAGAACACCAGUGGCGAAGGCGGCUGUCUGGUCUGUAACUGACGCUGAGGCUCGAAAGUAUGGGUAGCAAACAGGAUUAGAUACCCUGGUAGUCCAUACCGUAAACGAUGAAUGCUAAGUGUUGGAGGGUUUCCGCCCUUCAGUGCUGCAGCUAACGCAUUAAGCAUUCCGCCUGGGGAGUA